This 284-nucleotide ribosomal RNA is filed under the name uncultured bacterium. RNAcentral's name for it is "partial 16S ribosomal RNA". It matches the Rfam family "Bacterial small subunit ribosomal RNA", at positions 62 to 339 of the family's 1533-position model. The record is from RNAcentral.
UCGAACGAGAAGCUACCCUUCGGGGUAGUGGAAAGUGGCGCACGGGUGCGUAACACGUGGGUAAUCAGCCCUUCAGCUCGGAAUAACGGUGGGAAACCACCGCUAAUACCGGAUACGUCGGGACCUUCCUCGGAGGGUUUCGGGAAAGGCCAGCAACGGUCACUGAAGGACGAGCUCGCGGCCCAUCAGCUUGUUGGUGAGGUAAUGGCUCACCAAGGCGAAGACGGGUAGCUGGUCUGAGAGGAUGAUCAGCCACACUGGAACUGAGACACGGUCCAGACUCC